CCUACGGGAGGCAGCAGUAGGGAAUCUUCCACAAUGGGCGAAAGCCUGAUGGAGCAACGCCGCGUGGGUGAAGAAGGUCUUCUGAUCGUAAAACCCUGUUGUUAGAGAAGAAAGUGCGUGAGAGUAACUGUUCACGUUUCGACGGUAUCUAACCAGAAAGCCACGGCUAACUACGUGCCAGCAGCCGCGGUAAUACGGAGGUGGCAAGCGUUAUCCGGAUUUAUUGGGCGUAAAGGGAACGCAGGCGGUCUUUUAAGUCUGAUGUGAAAGCCUUCGGCUUAACCGGAGUAGUGCAUUGGAAACUGGGAGACUUGAGUGCAGAAGAGGAGAGUGGAACUCAAUGUGUAGCGGUGAAAUGCGUAGAUAUAUGGAAGAACACCAGUGGCGAAAGCGGCUCUCUGGGCUGUAACUGACGCUGAGGUUCGAAAGCGUGGGUAGCAAACAGGAUUAGAUACCCCAGUAGUC
This 465-nucleotide ribosomal RNA is filed under the name uncultured bacterium. RNAcentral's name for it is "partial 16S ribosomal RNA". It matches the Rfam family "Bacterial small subunit ribosomal RNA", at positions 338 to 795 of the family's 1533-position model. The record is from RNAcentral.